AUGCUUUUAUCGCAUGGUAGAAGUAUCAAAGCUCCGGCGGUAUAGGAUGGACCCGCGUCUGAUUAGCUAGUUGGUGAGGUAACGGCUCACCAAGGCGACGAUCAGUAGCCGACCUGAGAGGGUGAUCGGCCACAUUGGAACUGAGACACGGUCCAAACUCCUACGGGAGGCAGCAGUGGGGAAUAUUGCACAAGGGGCGAAAGCCUGAUGCAGCAACGCCGCGUGAGCGAAGAAGGCCUUCGGGUCGUAAAGCUC
This 255-nucleotide ribosomal RNA is filed under the name uncultured bacterium. RNAcentral's name for it is "partial 16S ribosomal RNA". It matches the Rfam family "Bacterial small subunit ribosomal RNA", at positions 173 to 433 of the family's 1533-position model. The record is from RNAcentral.